Molecule: ribosomal RNA, 490 nt
Filed under: uncultured Eubacteriales bacterium
Lineage: Bacteria; Bacillati; Bacillota; Clostridia; Eubacteriales
Description: uncultured Clostridiales bacterium partial 16S ribosomal RNA
Source: RNAcentral
CACGUAUUUAGCCGGAGCUUCUUUUCAGUACGUCACUUUCUUCCCUCGCUGAUAGAGCUUUACUAUAACGAAUUACUUCUUCACUCACGCGGCGUCGCUGCAUCAGAGUUCCCUCCAUUGUGCAAUAUUCCCCACUGCUGCCUCCCGUAGGAGUCUGGGCCGUGUCUCAGUCCCAAUGUGGCCGUCCACCCUCUCAGGCCGGCUACUGAUCGUCGCCUUGGUGUGCUUUUACCACUCCAACUAGCUAAUCAGACGCGGGUCCAUCUCAUACCAGAUUUCUCCUUUUCACACAAAAACAUGCGUCUUUGUGCGCUUAUGCGGUUUUACCACCAGUUUCCCGAUGCUACUCCCCCUGUAUGAGGCAGGUUGCCCACGCGUUACUCACCCGUCCGCACUAAGAUAGUUCUCUUUCACCUCGAAAAGCUUCCAAGCAAUAUCUCGUUGACUUGCAUGUGUUAGCACGCCGCAGCGUUUCAUCCUGAGCCAGGUA